This 1512-nucleotide long non-coding RNA is filed under the name Solanum lycopersicum (tomato). RNAcentral's name for it is "long non-coding RNA (SLYC_LNC000032)". Lineage: Eukaryota; Viridiplantae; Streptophyta; Magnoliopsida; Solanales; Solanaceae. The record is from RNAcentral.
UGGACAUCCCAUCCUGACUACAAAAAAGUAGUUGAAAGAGUUUGGAUAAAAAAAAAACUCAUGCCACCCUAAUGGUCUUUGAAAAUUAACCUACAAAUUGGAUUAAGUCUAAUUUAAGUGACAUGUUCUACAAAGAAGGAAAAUAAUUAACAGGCUUGGGGAAUACAAUUUUCACAUAGAUACACCACUAGUAUGUACCUCUUUUUUUUUAAUCAAAGUGGGUCUUAGGGACCAUUUAUUAGAAACUAAAAAGGAAAAACCAGAUCAUAACAUGAUCUUGUCCGAAAACAAAAUACAGAAAUGAACAACCAAAGAAAGGAAACAAAGUUGGUCGUCUUCAAGCUUGAGCUUCCAUGGAGGAUGAAGACGAGGUGCUACCUUGGAGUAAAAUCGAGUCAUCACCUGCUGCAGUCAACUGUGUUCCAUCCAUUUCCAUCCCACUGAAUUCACUCAGCUUGAACAACUUUGGUAAGAAUCGAUCUAAUCCCUAACUCUCUUUUGAUGUUGUAAACGAACCUUGAGCUCCAUUUCUAUGUUUUACCCUUUCCUGCAAAUUGAGUCAGAAACCUUAACUAAUACCAAUGCAUAGGCCAGGUAAUUCUUAUUAACUUUCCCAGAGAUCAUUCCUUAAAGUACACUGCUUUACUGACUUUUAGAUUUAUAUGUGCUUCACCUGAAAUACUCUUGUUGCUUGUCGUAUUGUGCAUUAGUAUCAUUAUCACUGUAGACAUAUUUUUUUGUUUUGCAUUUUUAUGAUUCUCAAGUUAUCAAAACCUUGGAUGACUCCAAUCUGCUCCAUGGUCGGAGAAAUCUAUCUCUACGAUGAAGGUAGCAGUGAAAAGAGGAUAGAAGAUAGUUUAAAUACCUCUUAUAUAUAUUCAUAGAUUUAAAUGGAUCAGAAUUUUGACAAAUUUCACUGAAGACACUCAAAACACUAACAAGUGCCAUGAAAUUAGAUCCUUUGAAGACUUCUUCAACUCGGAUUAAUCUGAUCUAAACCACAAAAUGAAGUUAAAUGAACAUUGUUUUCUCCUCUUUCAUAUUUGUGCACUGUUAUACUUCAAUUUAAUUCAUCCAUGACCUUCUCUGCAGGUUGAGCCCCAAAGAUUUGGAUACCACUGCAUAAGGAGGCCAUAUCUGAGUUCCAACUCCGCAUAAAUAGUAUAUUGCAAUUACAUCCACUUAUGCAAGUAUGCAGGACCUACCAUCGCCUUUUGAUAUUUUUUUGUCAUCCAUGUCUUGUUGUUCUUGUUUGUCUCAAUUAUGUUUGUGUAUUGAAACCCAACUCUUGGAAAUCUGAAUAGAUGAUAGUUGUUGUACCUGUAAAAAGAAAAAACUGGUUAGCUAAAUAAUCUACAGAAGUGUUGCUUCCCUAAGGAUGCGCUCCACUAUUGAAUCAACAUUAAUUUUCAAACCAUUGAUCCUUUUCACCUCCACCCGACUACUCCAAGGAACCUCCUAAAUUCCAUUCAAAAAUUUUUGGAGCAUUAAUGAGUUAGCCUCAAAUAUUAC